AGUCAGUGAGAGGUCAUAUUAUUUAUACCAGUCAGUGACUGAGAGGUCAUAUUAUUUAUACCAGUCAGUGUCUGAGAGGUCAUAUUAUUUAUACCAGUCAGUGUCUGAGAGGUCAUUAUUUAUACCAGUCAGUGAGAGGUCAUAUUAUUUAUACCAGUCAGUGAGAGGUCAUAUUAUUUAUACCAGUCAGUGAGAUCAUAUUAUUUAUACCAGUCAGUGUCUGAGAGGUCAUUAUUUAUACCAGUCAGAGAGAGGUCAUAUUAUUUAUACCAGUCAGUGUCUGAGAGGUCAUAUUAUUUAUACCAGUCAGUGUCUGAGAGGUCAUAUUAUUUAUACCAGUCAGAGAGGUCAUAUUAUUUAUACCAGUCAGUGAGAGGUCAUAUUAUUCAUACCAGUCAGUGAGAGGUCAUAUUAUUUAUACCAGUCAGAGAGAGGUC
Molecule: long non-coding RNA, 437 nt
Filed under: Oncorhynchus mykiss (rainbow trout)
Lineage: Eukaryota; Metazoa; Chordata; Actinopteri; Salmoniformes; Salmonidae
Description: lncRNA (ENSOMYG00000076163.1)
Source: RNAcentral